This 484-nucleotide ribosomal RNA is filed under the name uncultured bacterium. Its description in RNAcentral is "partial 16S ribosomal RNA". It matches the Rfam family "Bacterial small subunit ribosomal RNA", at positions 30 to 507 of the family's 1533-position model. The record is from RNAcentral.
AUUGAACGCUGGCGGCAGGCCUAACACAUGCAAGUCGAGCGGAUGAAGGGAGCUUGCUCCUGGAUUCAGCGGCGGACGGGUGAGUAAUGCCUAGGAAUCUGCCUGGUAGUGGGGGAUAACGUCCGGAAACGGGCGCUAAUACCGUAUACGUCCUGAGGGAGAAAGUGGGGGAUCUUCGGACCUCACGCUAUCAGAUGAGCCUAGGUCGGAUUAGCUAGUUGGUGGGGUAAAGGCCUACCAAGGCGACGAUCCGUAACUGGUCUGAGAGGAUGAUCAGUCACACUGGAACUGAGACACGGUCCAGACUCCUACGGGAGGCAGCAGUGGGGAAUAUUGGACAAUGGGCGAAAGCCUGAUCCAGCCAUGCCGCGUGUGUGAAGAAGGUCUUCGGAUUGUAAAGCACUUUAAGUUGGGAGGAAGGGCAAUAAGUUAAUACCUUGCUGUUUUGACGUUACCAACAGAAUAAGCACCGGCUAACUUCGUG